This is a long non-coding RNA of Ooceraea biroi (clonal raider ant), 712 nucleotides long. RefSeq lists it as uncharacterized. NCBI's taxonomy places the organism in Eukaryota, Metazoa, Arthropoda, Insecta, Hymenoptera, Formicidae. The record is from RefSeq and is a predicted model, not a curated record.
AAAGAAAAAAAAACGAACGUGUCAAUAAUCAGCUGAUUGGUAAAAAAACGUGUAAAAGCUUUUUUCAAUUAUGCUUUAAAUAAUUGAAAAAAGAUAUAACAGAGAGAAACAAAUUAUUUAUUAUUAUUAUUAUAUAGUUAUUAUAUAUAAUUAUAUAUAGUAUAUAUUAGAAAUAUUUUUAUUUCAAGCAACGACUCAAAUGAAAAGUCUUCGGAGCAAUUUAAAAAAUUGCUAUCUCGCUUGUACGUCAGAUAUUGCACGCGUGCAUAUACACUUUGCGUUUAGCGCUAUGAUUACCGUCUGAUCGCUUAUGACAGACGACUCUCAUAAUUAAUCAGUUCAGACUGCAAAUCUAUCUGGUUAGGAACGCUACUCUCCGCGCAAACCGCGACACAAGAAUACAGGAUGAGAAACGUGAAUAACCUUGAUAGAUCAGUAGCAACAUGCAGGAGACCGAAUUACCAAGACUUGCUCCAAUCUCGGCAAGCCACCGUGCACCGUCGUGUGUUGGUCUCGCCGGACGUUGGUCGUUUUCACGCGAGACGCACGUUAUCGCGUUCUGGCGACUCGUUCAUCAUCGGACGAGAUAAUCCGAAGGACAAAAAUGCUGGUACUCUGGAAUGACACGAGUAAAAAUAGAGGCACGUGGUUUUGUCGAUGGCGCGUCAACGGCGCGCGAUAUUUAUUAACAAAAUUACACGGAUAUCUCUAA